GGUUAAGCGACUAAGCGUACACGGUGGAUGCCCUGGCAGUCAGAGGCGAUGAAGGACGUGCUAAUCUGCGAUAAGCGCCGGUAAGGUGAUAUGAACCGUUAUAACCGGCGAUUUCCGAAUGGGGAAACCCAGUGUGACUCGUCACACUAUCAUUAACUGAAUCCAUAGGUUAAUGAGGCGAACCGGGGGAACUGAAACAUCUAAGUACCCCGAGGAAAAGAAAUCAACCGAGAUUCCCCCAGUAGCGGCGAGCGAACGGGGAGGAGCCCAGAGCCUGAAUCAGCAUGUGUGUUAGUGGAAGCGUCUGGAAAGGCGCGCGAUACAGGGUGACAGCCCCGUACACAAAAGCGCAUGUGCUGUGAGCUCGAUGAGUAGGGCGGGACACGUGGUAUCCUGUCUGAAUAUGGGGGGACCAUCCUCCAAGGCUAAAUACUCCUGACUGACCGAUAGUGAACCAGUACCGUGAGGGAAAGGCGAAAAGAACCCCGGCGAGGGGAGUGAAAAAGAACCUGAAACCGUGUACGUACAAGCAGUGGGAGCACCCUUUGGGGUGUGACUGCGUACCUUUUGUAUAAUGGGUCAGCGACUUAUAUUCUGUAGCAAGGUUAACCGAAUAGGGGAGCCGCAGGGAAACCGAGUCUUAAUUGGGCGUUAAGUUGCAGGGUAUAGACCCGAAACCCGGUGAUCUAGCCAUGGGCAGGUUGAAGGUUGGGUAACACUAACUGGAGGACCGAACCGACUAAUGUUGAAAAAUUAGCGGAUGACCUGUGGCUGGGGGUGAAAGGCCAAUCAAACCGGGAGAUAGCUGGUUCUCCCCGAAAGCUAUUUAGGUAGCGCCUCGUGAACUCAUCUCCGGGGGUAGAGCACUGUUUCGGCUAGGGGGCCAUCCCGGCUUACCAACCCGAUGCAAACUGCGAAUACCGGAGAAUGUUAUCACGGGAGACACACGGCGGGUGCUAACGUCCGUCGUGAAGAGGGAAACAACCCAGACCGCCAGCUAAGGUCCCAAAGUCAUGGUUAAGUGGGAAACGAUGUGGGAAGGCCCAGACAGCCAGGAUGUUGGCUUAGAAGCAGCCAUCAUUUAAAGAAAGCGUAAUAGCUCACUGGUCGAGUCGGCCUGCGCGGAAGAUGUAACGGGGCUAAACCAUGCACCGAAGCUGCGGCAGCGACGCUGAUGCGUUGUUGGGUAGGGGAGCGUUCUGUAAGCCUGCGAAGGUGGCCUGUGAGGGUUGCUGGAGGUAUCAGAAGUGCGAAUGCUGACAUAAGUAACGAUAAAGCGGGUGAAAAGCCCGCUCGCCGGAAGACCAAGGGUUCCUGUCCAACGUUAAUCGGGGCAGGGUGAGUCGACCCCUAAGGCGAGGCCGAAAGGCGUAGUCGAUGGGAAACGGGUUAAUAUUCCCGUACUUGGUGUUACUGCGAAGGGGGGACGGAGAAGGCUAUGUUGGCCGGGCGACGGUUGUCCCGGUUUAAGCGUGUAGGUGUGUGUUCCAGGUAAAUCCGGUUCACUUUAACACUGAGGCGUGACGACGAGGCACUACGGUGCUGAAGCAACAAAUGCCCUGCUUCCAGGAAAAGCCUCUAAGCAUCAGGUAACAUCAAAUCGUACCCCAAACCGACACAGGUGGUCAGGUAGAGAAUACCAAGGCGCUUGAGAGAACUCGGGUGAAGGAACUAGGCAAAAUGGUGCCGUAACUUCGGGAGAAGGCACGCUGACACGUAGGUGAAGUGAUUUACUCAUGGAGCUGAAGUCAGUCGAAGAUACCAGCUGGCUGCAACUGUUUAUUAAAAACACAGCACUGUGCAAACACGAAAGUGGACGUAUACGGUGUGACGCCUGCCCGGUGCCGGAAGGUUAAUUGAUGGGGUCAGCGCAAGCGAAGCUCCUGAUCGAAGCCCCGGUAAACGGCGGCCGUAACUAUAACGGUCCUAAGGUAGCGAAAUUCCUUGUCGGGUAAGUUCCGACCUGCACGAAUGGCGUAAUGAUGGCCAGGCUGUCUCCACCCGAGACUCAGUGAAAUUGAACUCGCUGUGAAGAUGCAGUGUACCCGCGGCAAGACGGAAAGACCCCGUGAACCUUUACUAUAGCUUGACACUGAACAUUGAGCCUUGAUGUGUAGGAUAGGUGGGAGGCUUUGAAGUGUGGACGCCAGUCUGCAUGGAGCCGACCUUGAAAUACCACCCUUUAAUGUUUGAUGUUCUAACGUGGACCCGUAAUCCGGGUUGCGGACAGUGUCUGGUGGGUAGUUUGACUGGGGCGGUCUCCUCCUAAAGAGUAACGGAGGAGCACGAAGGUUGGCUAAUCCUGGUCGGACAUCAGGAGGUUAGUGCAAUGGCAUAAGCCAGCUUGACUGCGAGCGUGACGGCGCGAGCAGGUGCGAAAGCAGGUCAUAGUGAUCCGGUGGUUCUGAAUGGAAGGGCCAUCGCUCAACGGAUAAAAGGUACUCCGGGGAUAACAGGCUGAUACCGCCCAAGAGUUCAUAUCGACGGCGGUGUUUGGCACCUCGAUGUCGGCUCAUCACAUCCUGGGGCUGAAGUAGGUCCCAAGGGUAUGGCUGUUCGCCAUUUAAAGUGGUACGCGAGCUGGGUUUAGAACGUCGUGAGACAGUUCGGUCCCUAUCUGCCGUGGGCGCUGGAGAACUGAGGGGGGCUGCUCCUAGUACGAGAGGACCGGAGUGGACGCAUCACUGGUGUUCGGGUUGUCAUGCCAAUGGCACUGCCCGGUAGCUAAAUGCGGAAGAGAUAAGUGCUGAAAGCAUCUAAGCACGAAACUUGCCCCGAGAUGAGUUCUCCCUGAGACUUAGAGUCUCCUGAAGGAACGUUGAAGACGACGACGUUGAUAGGCCGGGUGUGUAAGCGCAGCGAUGCGUUGAGCUAACCGGUACUAAUGAACCGUGAGGCUUAACCUU
This 2906-nucleotide ribosomal RNA is filed under the name Salmonella enterica. RNAcentral describes it as "23S ribosomal RNA". It matches the Rfam family "Bacterial large subunit ribosomal RNA". Lineage: Bacteria; Pseudomonadati; Pseudomonadota; Gammaproteobacteria; Enterobacterales; Enterobacteriaceae. The record is from RNAcentral.